This 520-nucleotide long non-coding RNA is filed under the name Prunus dulcis (almond). RNAcentral describes it as "sRNA ncRNA". Lineage: Eukaryota; Viridiplantae; Streptophyta; Magnoliopsida; Rosales; Rosaceae. The record is from RNAcentral.
CUUUCUCUCUCCUCAGAUUUAGGAGCUCCUAGAAGACUCCAUAUUUUAGGAGCUGGAUAGAGAGCGUGCUUAGAGUUGCAUUUUUAAGAUUCCUCCCUAAAAUUUGUCUAAUGAGGUAGUUUAAGGAGCCCAUUAUGGAUGAUCUUAUAAGGGAGCAAUCUUAUGACGUGAUUAUUUAAUGGGUAAUACUAGGAUCAAAAUUGAAUCUCAAAGGAAUAUAUAUAAUUCAUUAAACUAUUUUCCAGCAUGUAUUCAUUAAAUAAAAAUGAUUAACUUCUAAAAUAAUUGAAUUAAGAAUGAAAUCGAAAAGUCAACUAAUGAAAAAACCAAUUCAAGAGCCCUCUCCUCCAUCCUCUACUCCGAUGUAUGAUCCCUUCUACCUGCUAAAAUAUGAAUAUGGUUUGAAUGUAUUAGUUUUUUUUAUUUAUAUUCUUCUCCAUAAUGAGAUAUAUAUAAGAGUUUACAUGUGGGUUUUAUAAGAAAUUAGAUGCAGUAAAGAAUUAGGAAAGUAUCUCCUAAU